Molecule: ribosomal RNA, 498 nt
Filed under: uncultured bacterium
Lineage: Bacteria
Description: partial 16S ribosomal RNA
Rfam family: Bacterial small subunit ribosomal RNA
Source: RNAcentral
AUUGAACGCUGGCGGCAUGCCUUACACAUGCAAGUCGAACGGUAACAGGUCUUCGGAUGCUGACGAGUGGCGAACGGGUGAGUAAUACAUCGGAACGUGCCUAGUAGUGGGGGAUAACUACUCGAAAGAGUGGCUAAUACCGCAUGAGAUCUAUGGAUGAAAGCAGGGGAUCGCAAGACCUUGUGCUACUAGAGCGGCCGAUGGCAGAUUAGGUAGUUGGUGGGAUAAAAGCUUACCAAGCCGACGAUCUGUAGCUGGUCUGAGAGGACGAUCAGCCACACUGGGACUGAGACACGGCACAGACUCCUACGGGAGGCAGCAGUGGGGAAUUUUGGACAAUGGGCGCAAGCCUGAUCCAGCAAUGCCGCGUGCAGGAUGAAGGCCUUCGGGUUGUAAACUGCUUUUGUACGGAACGAAAAGCCCCGGGUUAAUACCCUGGGGUCAUGACGGUACCGUAAGAAUAAGCACCGGCUAACUACGUGCCAGCCGCCGCGGUAA